This 650-nucleotide long non-coding RNA is filed under the name Anas platyrhynchos platyrhynchos (common mallard). Its description in RNAcentral is "lncRNA (ENSAPLG00000024224.1)". Lineage: Eukaryota; Metazoa; Chordata; Aves; Anseriformes; Anatidae. The record is from RNAcentral.
AGACUGACUGUUGUGUGUUUUCCAGUGCAGUAAUCCCAGCUGCUCCUGCAGCCCUCCUUCACAAUGCAAUGUGACACUGCUGUGUGUGCUUCUACUUAUAAUGUUUAAUAAACGUGUAAAUUAACUCUGUUUCUACAGGUAGGAGAACUGUAUACCUGCACUUCUGUAUCACUGAACACACAGUAUCAUGAGGCAGUCAGAGUGUUUGCUGAAGUCCAUCUUUAAAGUGUUUCAGGUUUUCCAACCAGAGUGAAGCUAAAAUGAUGUUCCUGUGUUCUGUGAAAUGCAGAAAACUCAUGCUGUUGAGUGAAAGAUCAAGAACUGCUGAAUUUUGACCUCAGUGCUGAACUACAGGUGUACCCUGACCUGCAUUAAGAAAGCCAGAUCAGAUGAUGCCAGCUAGCCAAACUCAGUCCACCAGGCUGUUCAAAACAGCAGGGAGAGAAGUGGGUAUUCAACCACCUGGAAAUGAAUUGAACCUAGCCAUCAAACACAGCAGCAUUCCUCUACCUUUGGCCAACGGAUUUUUUUUUGUUGUCUGUUUGUUCUUUCUGUAGCAUUUCCUAUUCCUGUUACUGAACAUAAUAAUGAAUAACAGCAGGUGAGUUGUCACACUGCAUGAGAAAUUAAUAAACUUUUCACACUCUUCA